UACGGAAGGCAGCAGUGGGGAAUAUUGCACAAUGGGCGCAAGCCUGAUGCAGCCAUGCCGCGUGUAUGAAGAAGGCCUUCGGGUUGUAAAGUACUUUCAGUCGUGAGGAAGGUGUUAAGGUUAAUAACCUUAGCAAUUGACGUUAGCGACAGAAGAAGCACCGGCUAACUCCGUGCCAGCAGCCGCGGUAAUACGGAGGGUGCGAGCGUUAAUCGGAAUUACUGGGCGUAAAGGGCACGCAGGCGGUUAAUUAAGUUGGAUGUGAAAUCCCCGGGCUUAACCUGGGAAUGGCAUUCAAGACUGGUUAGCUAGAGUCUUGUAGAGGGGGUAGAAUUCCAUGUGUAGCGGUGAAAUGCGUAGAGAUGUGGAGGAAUACCGGUGGGCGAAGGCGGCCCCUGGGACAAAGGACUGACGCUCAUGUGCGAAAGCGUGGGGAGCAAACG
RNAcentral lists this ribosomal RNA (443 nucleotides) under uncultured bacterium. Its description in RNAcentral is "bacterial SSU rRNA". It matches the Rfam family "Bacterial small subunit ribosomal RNA", at positions 340 to 774 of the family's 1533-position model. The record is from RNAcentral.